Molecule: long non-coding RNA, 516 nt
Organism: Neomonachus schauinslandi (Hawaiian monk seal)
Lineage: Eukaryota; Metazoa; Chordata; Mammalia; Carnivora; Phocidae
Exons: 3
Source: RefSeq, a predicted model, not a curated record
GGUCGCGAGUCCUCGGACUGAGCCGGGCAGAGCCGCCAGGAAGGGUCAAUUAUUCAUGGGGCGCCUGGGCGUGCUCCCAAGACCUGCUCUGCCCUCAGCUUCUCCGGAGAAGUGGGGAGAAGACAAGGGAAAAGUUCCCAGAGCAAAGUUGGCCCCGUUUCUCCUUUUCCCAAAUGCUUACUGACUACCUCCUCUGUGCCCACCACCGCGCUGCAUGCUGAGGACCUCACCAUCGGCACACAUGGCCCUCGCUUAGGCUUCGCAGCCCUGCAGGGGAGGGGAAGUGGCGAGAAGACAGGCGACCGCAAUGCCAUGUGAUACACGCCAGGAUGAACCAAGGAAGCACCUAAAAGGGAGGAGACUGAUGCACAGAGACGUUAAAACAAACUUCCCAAGGCCACAGCUGCGGUGUGGCUGAACCAGACUUUGAAUCCAGAGCUUCCAGUUGGGAGUUCCUUUCCGGCAUGCCUGUUUUCUCCUUUGUUUUAGAGCAACUGUUCCCUCCAUGUACCUCCC